GUGAGAGGAGGAGAAGAGAAGAAAGGAUCAGAUUUGACUCAUCAAAAAGAGAGACCAGACUCAGAGGAACCAGAGACGUCUGAACCAGCGAGACGACAUCACUGUUCACAGUGUGGGAAGAGUUAUACCCGUUUAUGGAGCCUGAAAAACCAUAAGAGAACACAUGCAGGGAAGAAGCCGUAUCAUUGCUCUCAGUGUGGAAAGAGUUUUACACGGUUAGGGAGCCUUGAAAUACAUAAGAGAAUACACACAGGAGACAAGCCUUACCAAUGCUUCCAGUGUGGAAAGAGAUUUAUCCAGUCAACACACCUGAACGAGCAUAAGAGAAUACACACAGGGGAAAAACCAUUCCAAUGCUCUCAGUGUGGAAGGACAUUUUCACGAUCAGGGGACCUCAAAUCUCAUGAGAGAAUACACACAGGGGAAAAGCCUUAUCACUGCUCCCAUUGUAAAAGUAGUUUUAGCUGGUCAGGGCAACUGAACGAGCAUGAGAGAACACACACAUGGGUGAAGCCUUACCACUGCUCCCAGUGUGGAAAGAGUUUUACACGGUUGGGGUCCCUUAAAUCACAUAAGAUAUAUACACACACACAGAAGACAAGCCCUAUCACUACUCCCAGUGUGAAAAUAAGUAUUUGUCAUUAGGGGACAUGAAAAAGCAUGAGAGAAAACACUGUAGAGAAGCCUUUCCACUGCUCUCUGUGUAGAAUGGGAUUUACCCAGUCAUGGCAUCUGAAAGCGCAUAAGAGAAUACACACGAGAUAAGCCAUUCCAAUGCUUGCAGUGUGGAAAGAGUUAUAUCCGGUAAGGGAAUUUAGAAACGCAUGAGAUGACACACAUGAAAUAACGAGAGAAAAUGGCCAAAUGUAGAUUUCCGCCUAAAUAGACAUGCAAAAGUAACAGCUAUUCAUGUGUAAUUACGUGAUUCUGACAUGCAAAAACUUGGUAUAUUUGGAAAGAAGACAUCUGGGAGAUAAUGCUGGAAAUUAUCAGAAGAUAGAAGUUACAUAGUUCAGAAUACACAAGAUCAAGCACACACAAAAUACACUUAAAAAAUAUAUAUAUAUUUUGGCCCCUGUGUUACUUCACCAGUUCUCCUACCAUGUAUUACUAUUAUGUGAUUAGCCUAGUUGGUGUUGUAAUGUUAAUUCCCAUGAGAGGAAUUAUGGUGUUUUUUUCCUAUCAUUGUAAAUUGUGUAUAGAGAUUGAGCUGACAUGUAUUAUUUAAUGUAUAUUGUUUAUUGGAUUUACAUUGAAAUAAUGCUCUCUUUCUUCCUGUUUCCCUCUGUACACAGACCACUUAUAUACUCUGGUUCAUCAUUAAAACUCCUACUGACAGACUGA
Molecule: long non-coding RNA, 1344 nt
Organism: Salvelinus namaycush (lake trout)
Lineage: Eukaryota; Metazoa; Chordata; Actinopteri; Salmoniformes; Salmonidae
Exons: 2
Source: RefSeq, a predicted model, not a curated record